Molecule: transfer RNA, 75 nt
Filed under: Candidatus Omnitrophota bacterium
Lineage: Bacteria; Pseudomonadati; Candidatus Omnitrophota
Description: Candidatus Omnitrophica bacterium tRNA-Arg
Rfam family: tRNA
About the family: Transfer RNA (tRNA) molecules are approximately 80 nucleotides in length. Their secondary structure includes four short double-helical elements and three loops (D, anti-codon, and T loops).
Source: RNAcentral
GCCCCUUUAGCUUAACGGAUAAAGCACAAGCCUCCGGAGCUUGUGAUGUGAGUUCGAUUCUCGCAGGGGGCACCA